AAGGGCUUUGUAGGAUACUGGGAU
Molecule: non-coding RNA, 24 nt
Filed under: Cricetulus griseus (Chinese hamster)
Lineage: Eukaryota; Metazoa; Chordata; Mammalia; Rodentia; Cricetidae
Source: RNAcentral